GCCCUAGUGGCGGAAUUGGUAGACGCGCACGACUCAAAAUCGUGUGUCCAAAAGGCGUGGGGGUUCGAUUCCCUCCUGGGGCA
RNAcentral lists this transfer RNA (83 nucleotides) under Chitinophagales bacterium. RNAcentral's name for it is "tRNA-Leu". It matches the Rfam family "tRNA". From Rfam's summary of the family: Transfer RNA (tRNA) molecules are approximately 80 nucleotides in length. Their secondary structure includes four short double-helical elements and three loops (D, anti-codon, and T loops). Lineage: Bacteria; Pseudomonadati; Bacteroidota; Chitinophagia; Chitinophagales. The record is from RNAcentral.